Molecule: ribosomal RNA, 253 nt
Filed under: uncultured bacterium
Lineage: Bacteria
Description: partial 16S ribosomal RNA
Rfam family: Bacterial small subunit ribosomal RNA
Source: RNAcentral
UACGAGGGGGGCGAGCGUUGUUCGGAAUUAUUGGGCGUAAAGGGCGCGUAGGCGGUGCGGUAAGUCACCUGUGAAACCUCUGGGCUCAACUCAGAGCCUGCAGGCGAAACUGCCGUGCUGGAGUGUGGGAGAGGUGCGUGGAAUUCCCGGUGUGGCGGUGAAAUGCGUAGAUAUCGGGAGGAACACCUGUGGCGAAAGCGGCGCACUGGACCACAACUGACGCUGAGGCGCGAAAGCUAGGGGAGCAAACAGG